UACGGAGGGUGCAAGCGUUAAUCGGAAUUACUGGGCGUAAAGGGCGCGUAGGUUGUUUAGUAAGUUGGCUGUGAAAGCCCCGGGCUCAACCUGGGAGGGUCAGUCAAAACUGCUAAACUAGAGUGUAGUAGAGGGUAGUGGAAUUUCAGGUGUAGCGGUGAAAUGCGUAGAGAUCUGAAGGAACACCAGUGGCGAAGGCG
RNAcentral lists this ribosomal RNA (200 nucleotides) under uncultured bacterium. RNAcentral's name for it is "partial 16S ribosomal RNA". It matches the Rfam family "Bacterial small subunit ribosomal RNA", at positions 524 to 723 of the family's 1533-position model. The record is from RNAcentral.